AAUACUUUUCGCAUUUUGAAACGUGUCAUUACUAGCGCUAUCAAUCACAGAGCGUCAAAAAUAAACUGUUCCUCCAUCUAAGAACUCUUUUAAAUUCGAGUUUUUUGGUGCUGAGGACUGCUACCAGCAUUACUCUUACAAAUGACCCAUAAAGGCUAUCAUAGGUCUUUGAACGAUCUGUGAGAAUGCCUCGACGCUGUAAAUAAAUUAUUUUUCAUUGACUCUCGUUUGAUAUAUGGCUGAACCAUUUAAUUACUGGAAUAGGCUGAGCACUAACUUGAGCCAACAUUAAUCAGCGCUAUUAAUCAAGCAUCACAUUGCUUUGUUGAUGCAGCCAGGAGUCCUUACGAAGCAGUUCACUUUUACGUUGAAAAGUUUAAGUUUUAUAAGUACUCAGUCGAUAUCUAAAUAAACACCAUCACUUUCGCAGCACUGAGGGUUGGUGUGUGGCGAAGUAUUCAAAGAUGAAACAGGAAAAAUUUCUUCGCAGACCAUUAAUUACUUUAGGCGACGGUUUACAGACUUCAUUCCGUUCAUGGAGCGGGAGACAGACUGCAUUCAUUUGUAACUUUGUCCGCAAGUUCUUCCCCAAAGAGUUAAGAGGUUCUUCCCUGGAAACGUUUGUAAAACGUGGCGAAUUAUCACCGGGCCACUCCGGGGAAAGUAUUAGGAUUUACUGAAGGGCACAGUGGAAGAUCAGCCCAGAGGGACCGCUGCAGAGACGGGGAACGGCCACUAAGAUUUGGGCGAGCUUUACUGAAGCUUCACAUUUGGAUAUGACCACUUGCUUUGUUUGCUUAAUUAAGCUAGAUGUUUGUACGCAACUUUCAGCUCCGCACUCGCGAAGUUCCUGGAACACAGAAACCCAAGCGAUUCACGUCUCUCACGUCCCCCUGGUCUCCCCCGUCGUUCCCCACCCCGGGCCUCCCUCCCUACUGCGCUUCCAGCUUUCGGCCGCGACUGGUAACUCUCCUCCCGCUCCUCACCCCGAAGCUGCGCCUCAUCCCUCCUGCUAGGAGUCAUUCCCGAAGCCUGUAUUGAGAUUCUGGUUGUGCCUGCCAGUCUGAGCCCGGUAAAGAGAGAAGAAAACGCGAGUCACUGGUCUGAGGGAGUGUAGACAGGUAGGUACUUAUUCUGGCCAAUGAUGAGUGCCUCCUGAGCGCCGCGCAAAGAGAAGGGAUGCCUGGAGUCGCUGCCCGGGGCCCUUUCAGCCUUCGCCGUCCUUCCUCGGGGCUGCAUGCAUUUCCACUACUCUUAAACUCAAGCGUCU
RNAcentral lists this long non-coding RNA (1270 nucleotides) under Callithrix jacchus (white-tufted-ear marmoset). RNAcentral describes it as "lncRNA (ENSCJAG00000057449.2)". The record is from RNAcentral. Lineage: Eukaryota; Metazoa; Chordata; Mammalia; Primates; Cebidae.